GGAUUAACGCUGGCGGCGUGCAUAACACAUGCAAGUCGAACGAUGAAACUUAAAUGCUUUCUUCGGAAUGAACUUAAGUGGAUUAGUGGCGGACGGGUGAGUAACGCGUGAGUAACCUGCCUUACACAAGGGGAUAGCCGUUGGAAACGACGAAUAAUACCCUAUGAAACUAUCACUUCGCAUGAAGCGAUAGUCAAAGUGUUAGCGGUGUAAGAUGGACUUGCGUCUGAUUAGCUAGUUGGUGAGAAAAAAGCCCACCAAGGCAACGAUCAGUAGCCGGCUUGAGAGAGUGUACGGCCACAUUGGGACUGAGACACGGCCCAGACUCCUACGGGAGGCAGCAGUGGGGAAUUUUGCACAAUGGGGGAAACCCUGAUGCAGCGACGCCGCGUGAUUUAGAAGGCCUUCGGGUUGUAAAAAUCUUUUGUAUAGGAAGAAAAUGACAGUACUAUACGAAUAAGGUCCGGCUAAUUACGUG
Molecule: ribosomal RNA, 478 nt
Filed under: uncultured bacterium
Lineage: Bacteria
Description: partial 16S ribosomal RNA
Rfam family: Bacterial small subunit ribosomal RNA
Source: RNAcentral